RNA transcript from Acanthochromis polyacanthus (spiny chromis), 5951 nucleotides. RefSeq lists it as uncharacterized. Lineage: Eukaryota; Metazoa; Chordata; Actinopteri; Pomacentridae. The transcript is spliced from 7 exons. The record is from RefSeq and is a predicted model, not a curated record.
CCAACUAUUGGACAUUCCCUUCAUUAUAGCAAGAAAAAACACAUUUGCGACAGUUAAGCUAAUUCUUUCAUAUGACUCAAAUUUCAUUGAAUCCUUACAAUAUACUAACGUUACAUAACUAAAAGUUUUUUCAUCAUUGAUGUGCACUCUAUAAUUAAAAUGUUUAUUUGAUUAUUUUAAAUUACUUCAAAUGAUAAUUCUAAAUGUUCAGAUGCUCUUACUAAACAUCUGUUCGAUUUAACCACCUCACAGAUAUUAUCAUUGGUUGUUAAUAAAAAGUAGUUUUUUUGUUUUUCAUUUCGUGUUGAUGUGUCAGAGCAAGGCUGUUUUUCAUUGUGAGAAAUAAAAUAUGAAAUGGCGCUCCCUGCCGCCCCAGGGUCGAGCUCAUUCUUGGUAGCGAUGGCCAAUCGCCUUGCUGCCUGCUACCAAGAAUCAACCAAAAAUUGAAGGCCCUGGCCAAUCAGUGCUGGCAUCACUACCAAGAUUCGCUGCGGGGACUACCAAGAAUUAACCAAUAGAUAGCGCCACUGGGGGGCGCUUACCUAUUGCCUCAUUUGACAGUGGCUUUUCGAAGGUAAGGUGUCUCUGCGAGUUUUAGCUAAAUAAGUUGCCAAACGCAUAAAAACAAGUUUGUUUGUUGUUGUUUUAAAAAGGUAAUAUUUAACUACAGAAUUAAAAGAGCUAGCGAUGUGAUGUGUGCGGGUACGUGUUUUGAAUGAAAUCGAGUUUGACCGCAAUGGUUAGGUAGCGUUAUUAGACAACCCCGUUAGCUGUCAGUUCCCGUCGUUGCCGUAUAAACUUUGGAUUUUCUUUUUUAUCGUUUUGGAUACUCCGUGCGAAUAUGAACAUUUGUCACAGUGGUGUUGCUGUAAAGUCAAUUUAACCUGACAUUUUUGGUGGCCGGUGUGACGUUACCGACGGCUUUAUAACGCUAGGUUUACUUCGUCCUGUUACCUGUCAGGUCCCGGCGUCACCGUAUAAACUUUGGAUUUUCUUUUGUCGUUUUGGAUACUCCGUGCUAAUAUGAACGUUUGUCACAGUGCUAAUAUGAACGUUUGUCACAGUGGUGUUGCUGUAAAGUCAAUUUAACCCGACAUUUUUGGUGGCCGGUGUGACGUUACCGACAGCUUUAUAACGCUAGGUUUACUUCAUCCUGUUACAUGUCAGGUCUCGUCGUCGCCGUAUAAACUUUGGAUUUUCUCGUAAGGCGUCUUGGGUAAUGCACGGUUUGUCACAUUGUUAAUGAUGUACAGUCUAUUUAACCUUCACAUGUUUGGAAUGAACAGCUUGUGGCCGAUGUGACAUCGGUGACUGCCUAAUAACGCUACGGUUACUGAGUUUAUUACGAAGGAGUGAGGGAGCAAAUAAGAUAUCAGAUUAGUGGAAAGUACAAAUUAGGCAUGUAUUUAUUGCAUUUUGCGAUAUCAGUGUUGUGCUUUAGAGGGAAAAUCUUUUUUUCCUCAGCUACAUUGACUUAGUAGCUUUAGUUAGUGUUGGCAGUUACUCUGCAGAUUGAUGUGAAUGUUAUAGUAGCAUACAUAGACUGAGCAUAAUAUACUGUAAGACAAAGCUUAAGAGAUGAUUCUUGACUGAAUAAAACGGGGAGUAAGAUAAUGUACACAGCUGCCUUAAGCAAUGUGUUACCAAAUGUCUUGUCAAUAUCAUCUGUCCUUGCUGUGAUAUUUACAUUUUUUCAGUUUUCUUUUAUUUUUUUAAAACCUACAUGGAACCUCGCUUCCGGAGGCCAGCUGACGGCAGUCUCAACCUCUCAGACUCACCUGAAGCAGCCAAAGAGUGCAAAACCGAGACAAGCCAUGGCAGCGCCCCUUGUCCCCAGAAGCAGUGCUGGAGAGGGCCAAAAAAGCAUUGGUCCAACCCCACGGAGGCACACAAAAUCGAGUACACCUCCUGGGUUUCUUUGAAAUUCAGUUUGGUGUGUUUUGUGGCCUGUCAUUUAGGUGGGUGGCUGAAAAUGCGCUGGGGUAUGCUGCUUACCUGGUGGCAACUAUGAAGAGGGACCCCACAGGAGGCAGCAAAGACUCCAGAGAGCAUGACCAGAACAAGACGUGUUUUAGGGAGUACAUUGAGUUGUUUCCUUCUGGCAGAAUUGCUAUUGCCAUGAAGGAAGAGCAGUAUGCUGGAAAAACACGGCAGCACGCUGCCACCACCUCCCAGCCCACUGCCACUUCUCAGCCCACCGCCACCUCCCAGCCCGCUGCCACCACCACCACCACCCAGCAUGUUGCCACUUCCACCCAGAACGUUGCCACCUCCUCUCUCUGCUCCUUGUUGGUCGGAAAGCUGCCGAACCAGCAAAGUUUGUCCAAAGCUAUUAAAAGGCUGGUUUCCCCUGUCAAAGUCAAACCUUCUUUGACCCAGGCACGCACACGGCAGUCCACCACUGAGGCUCCAGAACCCUCGUGCUCAUCCACUCAACCCUCUGUGUCCACUGAGCUGGAUGACAGCACAUUGUUCGCAGAGGCAAUGAAGUUUGAGGAGCACAGCAGAUCUGUCUUCCAGCUGGCUGGAUACACACCUUGCCUGAAGUGGAUUUCCAAAGCGCUGUUCAGGUGGACAGCACAGGGGCACCCGGAGCUGGACUUCAGCAGAGUUAACAGGCUUUGGUGGUAUCCACCACAGGUGCCACUGAGGACCAGUACUCUUCCACCACUGGAGAACUACUUUGGCCAGCCCCUGCUGCUCUGGAUGCCACGCAAGGUGUGGCAGGUGCAACUGACAAGUCCUCAUUCAAACUGCAGUGGUCAUCUGACCUCAUCUGGCCUGCAUCAGAAGAUCAGGCAGGUUGUCAAAAUAGGGACAAUGUACUUUUUAGCGUCAGAGUAUCUGUCCUGCAGAGGAUGCAAAUGCAAGGUCAUCAGCUGGAGCCACGGCAUCGUGUCCCAGCUUGAUAUUGGUCACAGAGUGCAGUUCCCUUGCAUUCUGACUUCAAAACUUGCUUGUGACAUCGAGGUAGUGAGUUUGAUGCGUCAGCGAAGACUAGGAAACAGCAGCUGCCAGAUCCAGAGGAAGUUACAGGAGCGUCAUGCUGAGGUCUGGCUGCAGAAGACUGUCCAGUACUUGACAGAAUGCAAGGGGAUUUCCAGUGCCGUCACCUCUGGUCUGAUACUGCCUGUGACGGUCCAUCCACCACCUGCAAUGCUUCCUGUCUCCAAACGCCGGUGGUUGAUGCAGGUCUAUGCUCAGGACGUCCUCCAAAGACUUGACGAAAUCAAGGCCAGUAUUACAUCACAAUUUGGUCGAAUCCUGAAAAUGGAUUCUACUAAAAAGGUGGUACGGAAACUCGCUGGACGCAGCUAUGGUACUGCUGCCUGGGCAACCAACAUUGGAAAUGAGUAUGGACAGGUCAUCAUGACUGUGCUCACAGCCAAUGAAGGUUUUGGUCUUGAGCGGAUGACUGCAGGCCUCAUGAAGCGCUUUAGAGAGGCUGGGGUGGUGCCACCUGAAGUGCUGUAUGUCGACAGGGACUGUUGUGGCAACUCUCCUAUGAGGAGGAUGUUUGCAGAGUGGCAGCAAAUGAGCAUCCGCUUGGACAUAUGGCACUUUAUGCGGAGGUUAGCUGUGGGUUGUACAACUGACUCUCACCAGUUGUAUUCCACCUUCAUGAGACGCCUCAAUCACUGUAUUUUCAUGUGGGACCAAGAUGACCUGACGGCACUGAAAGAGGCAAAGCGAGCAGAGCUGGAGGCUGCCUUGAAACCAGCAUCUGAGGCAGAUGUGCUGCGUUCUGUUAGCCAAAGAGGACGUCUUGCCGGUGGGGUUCUGGGGGGCUCCGGGAGGAAAGGAGCAGCUGGUUGUGCUGUGGGUUCCAGUGAUCGGGGAGGGAAGCAGGUCGGGGGUUCCAGGGAGGGGUCCAGGCAGAAUGGGGGAUCCAGAUGGGGGGAAACCGGUGCCGUAUGGGUUGGGGAAGACGGACGAGGAUUCUGGGCGGCGGAGGUCCCGGACAGCUGGGUCUAGGUGAAGGUAGGAGAAAAACAACGUAAGAAAAUGCCAAAAACUUAACAGACUUACUGGAGGCUAGAGAGCAAACUAACUGUGAAGUCUUGUUCAACAGUCUGGCAGGGAGUGGAAGGAUGAGCCGGUUCUUAUUGCAGUGGAGUGUAAUCAGGUCGAUGUCCUUCAGCUGUCCAGGACCCACGGGGAAGGCUGAUUACCUGAGUGGAGGCAGGUGUGAGCCCGCACUCCACUCAGGUGUCGCACUGGGGAAGGAAGUAAAGGCAGAGGAGCGGAUGGGAGACAGAGGAGACAGAAACCGAGGGACAGAGAGAGAGAGGGGAGCAUGAGUGGAAGAGAGGAGCAUGAGAGGGAGAGGAGCAGGAGAGGGAGAGGAAACAGAAGGGGAAAAGGGGUAUUUGGGAUGUCAGGUGGGAAAGAUGGGGGUGAGGAGGGGGCCCUGACACACCGUUUGCCAACUUUCCGCUGCGCCAGAGGUUCCACGUCCCUGGAGUCAUUUCACUUACACCUGAACCGAUUCAUCCCAGGCACACUAGCCAGUGACACCUUUUUCCAGGCUUAUCUGCUGGAUGGACUCGCGAGGUGUAAUGAGGACCGGGCUCUGGCAGCAACAGCAGAUGAGCAGCAGCCGCACAGCUAUGACCACCUACUCCGCUAUACUGCCACCGCCUUAGCAGAGGAUGUCCUUGGCAGAAAGAUUGUUCCGUAUGAAGGGCCAAGGAAAUACACAGGGGAGCUUAUUGGAGUGGAUUAUCUUUAUGACCAAACUGGCCGAGUUUUGCAGGACUAUAAGAUGGCCAUUGAAGAGUCGGAGACCAAUGAUGUGGAGAUGCAGCUCCUGUGGACCACUUAACAGCAGAAACCGAGUCCACUUCACAUGAUGUUCAGCAGGCGCUCUCCGGUCACAGGAGCAAGCAAUUUUAAAACAGGGUAUCAAAGCUCCAGACGCACCCAUGACAGGACCUGAGAGGCUUCCUGCAGCGAUGCAGAAAAGCCCAGCUCUGUAUCCUGGCAGUUCAGCUCAGCCUCACCUCUUCAUUUUGCCUCCAAACACGGCUGAGGAGGCUAAGCUCAAGGGGAGAUUCCAGCCUCAGGCCAUCUCCCAGGCUCCUCCACUACAGCAGGCACUUCCUAUGAUUGCACUGGCACCUUCCACCACUCUCCCCUUCAUUGUACCAUCUCUGCCGCAUCCUACAGUGUCUGGACCCUCACAGAUGAUGACUGCACCUGGAACCUCACAGACGAUUUUCCUACCUCCAGCUUUUCCACCAUCAACUCCAGUUCCUUAUACCACUCAGCAAUAUAGGAAGAGGAAACUGGAAAGGGAGCGCACUGGCAUUGUCAAAAGGAAAUAUGUCAAGAAGACAGAUAUGAUCCUUUGUAAAAAAAGUGCAACAAAGAGAGAAAGCCACCAUCCCACCUGCAGUACUUCGGGAACUGGUACUGCAAGGAGUCUGAGAGCCAGUCGUAUGGAGAAUGGAGGGCUGUGCUGGAGGCUCGUGGUUAUGGGAGAAAAAAGACGGGGAGUGACAACCCUCCAUCUCCCUCAAGGUUUUCUUUUGUAGUUUUAUUGUGUGUAUUUAUUAUUAUUUAUCAUUAUUUAUUAUGUAUAUUAUUUUUGAGAAAACGCUCUUACCUCUUGAUUUUGUGUUUUUUGUUUGGCUGGAUUUUUUUCACAUGUGCAGAGUUACAAUGGUAGUGGGGUGUCCUAAUAGUACUUUGUUUCAUUUUUUUUUUUUUGUUCAGUUUGGUUUUUGUCUUGAACUUUAUUUCAUUUUAUUUUCAGCCUUUGCACUGUGUCUACACACAUCGGUUGAACUGACUGCUCUUGAGUGUGAUCUGAUCUUAAUGAGAACAGUAGCACUAGUAAUCAUAAUAACAAUAGUAACAAUAAUAAUAAUAAUAAUAAUAAUAAUAUCAAUUAAAAUAAUAAUGGUAAUGAUUAGGUUGAUAAAUAAUCAAAUAUGUUAAUAUAAUUA